Molecule: transfer RNA, 72 nt
Filed under: Clostridia bacterium
Lineage: Bacteria; Bacillati; Bacillota; Clostridia
Description: tRNA-Lys
Rfam family: tRNA
About the family: Transfer RNA (tRNA) molecules are approximately 80 nucleotides in length. Their secondary structure includes four short double-helical elements and three loops (D, anti-codon, and T loops).
Source: RNAcentral
GCGCCUUUAGCUCAGUUGGUAGAGCAACUGACUCUUAAUCAGUGGGUCCUGGGUUCGAGUCCCCGAAGGCUC